UUUAUAUGAGAGUUUGAUCCUGGCUCAGGAUGAACGCCGGCGGUGUGCCUAAUACAUGCAAGUCGUACGCACUGGCCCAACUGAUUGAUGGUGCUUGCACCUGAUUGACGAUGGAUCACCAGUGAGUGGCGGACGGGUGAGUAACACGUAGGUAACCUGCCCCGGAGCGGGGGAUAACAUUUGGAAACAGAUGCUAAUACCGCAUAACAAUAAAAGCCGCAUGGCUUUUAUUU
This 233-nucleotide ribosomal RNA is filed under the name Limosilactobacillus reuteri. RNAcentral's name for it is "Lactobacillus reuteri partial 16S ribosomal RNA". It matches the Rfam family "Bacterial small subunit ribosomal RNA", at positions 1 to 202 of the family's 1533-position model. Lineage: Bacteria; Bacillati; Bacillota; Bacilli; Lactobacillales; Lactobacillaceae. The record is from RNAcentral.